Molecule: long non-coding RNA, 337 nt
Organism: Talpa occidentalis (Iberian mole)
Lineage: Eukaryota; Metazoa; Chordata; Mammalia; Eulipotyphla; Talpidae
Exons: 3
Source: RefSeq, a predicted model, not a curated record
CUGAACUAUGCCAGCUCUUUCACUUUAGUUGUGGAUCAACAGAACAGAUGAGGACAACCUCAUGACUCAAAAGAGAAGCAGAUGCAAGAACCUCACCAGAAGGCCCACUGGACUGUCUGACUGGACUGGGUCCGACGGCCUCCUGUCCCCUUUUACAGCUUUGUACAGAUGAAGAUAAUGAAGGCCUCUGUGCUGGUGCUUUGUGGCUAUUCUGUGUAAAUACAAAAGGAUACAUCUAUAAAAGUUUCAGUCACUCAAAUAUAGAAUGAAUGAGCACCCGUGACCCAGAGACUCUGGCCUUGGUCUCCAAGCCUCCCUGUGGGUGUCCCUGGCAAGA